Molecule: non-coding RNA, 1920 nt
Organism: Siniperca chuatsi (mandarin fish)
Lineage: Eukaryota; Metazoa; Chordata; Actinopteri; Centrarchiformes; Sinipercidae
Source: the annotation of a RefSeq genome assembly
CAGAGUGCAAUAUGUGGAUGUCUAGUACAGUACAUUGUGAGAGAAGACAGUAAAUUUAUGACAGUGAAUGUGAAGAGUAUGCCACUAUGAAAAUGACGGUCUUCUUACUGGCUUUUUCUGUUGCUCAGUGAUCUCAUUAGCUACAGUAUACUGGUACAACCAGGCAGCCAGUCAAUUAAUCAAACAGUUUUCUUAAGUAAAAUAUCUUUAACUUAAAAUGGAAACAUUUUCCAUUGAUUUUGUACAUUAAUGUCAUCUCUAAACAUUGCUUCACAUUAAAAAAAUGCAGCUAAACUGCAUCACUCAACACUUUUACUCCAAAAACAGGUUUGUGCUCAAAUAAGUUAUUACUAAGUUGAUAUAUUUGCUCUUUAUCUUUAUGAUGACAGUCUUAUCUAGACAUGUUGUAACUUUCUUAUUAAAGCUCUCUUCUCAGGAACUAAAUUUUGAACCUCAGUCCCAAUGAACUUAACAUGGGAAUGACUGAAGACAAUCUUUCAUACCCUGAGUUAAAAAAUAAGGGAAAACUACAUAACCAAAAUCGCUAUCCACCAUUUUUGUAAGAUGUAGAAGUAAGACACAAAAGUGUCUCUACUACAGUGACCCUUUUCCGUCAAAUCGGACACAAUAUUUGUCUAAAGUUUGUGAAUGCAUACACAGAGGUUUUGUGGUAGUUGACUUGUAUUUACCUAAAAUUUAGAAUUUUUAAAAAUUAUUUUGUUUAUUUAUUUAUUGGCAGUAGAAAUAGGCAAUUUAGUUAUUUUAUGUAAAGCACUUUGUAGAUAAAGUUAAUGACACUGAGAGGCAGGCACACAGUUAUGAUUUUGUUUUUUUAAAUUACAGGACGCACAUGGGCAACAUUAUAAACUUCUCCUGUCGGCUACAAGAUUUAUAGAAUUUGAAACAAGCUUAAGGUGAUAAAACUAACGAUUGGUAGACAAACAAUCUUGUCAAGAAUUUCAAAAUCAAACUUGAUCAGAUGUUCGGAUGUGUCUCACUUUUUAGUACUGCCUGUCCGGAAAUAUUACUCAUCUUUUGUUCAGCACAAAAUACGUCACUGACAAACAACUUGACAGUGUUACUGAUUGGAAUUACAAUCAAUGCAGAUGGGAGUGAUGGACUCUAGGGGGACCCCCAGCACCACAUUUAAAGACUUGCAUAAAAAAAAAACCGCAAAGGAUUACAUCAUACAAUCCAGUGACACUCCCACCUGCAGCUCUUUAUAUCCGUGUAUCAAUUCUGGCAGUUUGUGUCUCACAGAACAUGGAUAUCAUCGUCACUAAACAAGACCUCCUCAGAUUGUCCGUCUUUGCGCUUUGGACUGCAGGACUAAUUGAUGGGAGUGAUGUCACCCAGACUGACAUACUGUGGAAAGACGAGGGUGAAGAUGCAACAAUCAACUGCAGCCACACAAAGGAUGGCAACUAUUACCAGAUGUACUGGUACAGACAGCUGCCAGGACAAACAAUGAAACUAAUCGUGUUCACAACAACCACCAGCAAAGAUCACGACUUUGGAGAUUUCAGUAAUGAGAAAUUCUCAGCCACCAAGCCUGACGCUCACAGUGGGACAUUCACAGUGAAGAAUCUGGUGCCAGAAGAUAAAGGCUUGUAUUUCUGUGCUGUGCUGAGCUGAAAGGAAAGCUAACGCUAGAGUCUGACUAUUAAAUGUCUUUACUAUGAUAUCUACGGUCUUUAUAUUGUGUUUCCUUCAUCUGCCGGAAAUAAGGGUGAGUAUUCCAACAGAGUAAGACACUGCACAGCUAAUGCUUAAUGAGUGUUUGAAAUCGUGUCUGCUUUUUCCACAGGUGCCUCUAACAGCAACAGUGUCCUCCAAACACCUUCUUUCAUCAUUAAGAGAACCGAUCAAUCUGUUGACAGUGGGAUCAGCUGUUCACACAGCAUAACAAGUUAUCAGCAG